Molecule: ribosomal RNA, 253 nt
Filed under: uncultured bacterium
Lineage: Bacteria
Description: partial 16S ribosomal RNA
Rfam family: Bacterial small subunit ribosomal RNA
Source: RNAcentral
UACGGAGGGAGCAAACGUUGCUCGGAAUCAUUGGGCGUAAAGCGCACGUAGGCGGCGGCAUAAGCGGGAUGUGAAAGCCCAGUGCUCAACCUUGGAAGUGCAUCCCGAACUGUGUCGCUUGAAUCUCGGAUGGGGACAGAGAAUUCCCGGAGUAGAGGUGAAAUUCGUAGAUAUCGGGAUGAAUACCAGUGGCGAAGGCUCUGUCCUGGACGAAGAUUGCCGCUGAGGUGCUUAGACGUGGGGAGCAAACAGG